UACGUAGGUGGCAAGCGUUGUCCGGAAUUACUGGGCGUAAAGGGCGUGUAGGUGGUCAAACAAGUCAGGUGUGAAACCCUUGGGCUCAACCCGAGGCAUGCAUUUGAAACUGUAUGACUUGAGGGCAAGAGAGGAAAGUGGAAUUCCCAGUGUAGCGGUGAAAUGCGUAGAUAUUGGGAGGAACACCAGUGGCGAAGGCGACUUUCUGGUCUGUAACUGACGCUGAGGCGCGAAAGCUAGGGGAGCAAACAGG
Molecule: ribosomal RNA, 253 nt
Filed under: uncultured bacterium
Lineage: Bacteria
Description: partial 16S ribosomal RNA
Rfam family: Bacterial small subunit ribosomal RNA
Source: RNAcentral